This 240-nucleotide ribosomal RNA is filed under the name uncultured bacterium. Its description in RNAcentral is "partial 16S ribosomal RNA". It matches the Rfam family "Bacterial small subunit ribosomal RNA", at positions 524 to 767 of the family's 1533-position model. The record is from RNAcentral.
UACGUAGGGUGCGAGCGUUAAUCGGAAUUACUGGGCGUAAAGCGUGCGCAGGCGGUUUGGUAAGACAGACGUGAAAUCCCGGCGUACUGGACGUGCGUUGUGACUGUCAGACUAGAGUGUAGCAGAGGGGGUAGGAAUUCCACGUGUAGCAGUGAAAUAGCGUAGAUAUGUGGAGGAAUACCAAUGGCGAAGGCAGCCCCUCGGGUUAAGACCUGACGCUCAUGCACGAAAGCGUGGGGA